CUGUGGAAGUAGACUUCUGUGCCAAAAAAAGGGUGCCAAGUUGUCUACAUCUCCAGCCAAGCAACAAAACUAUACACAACGUUAUAAAUUACCUGCGGGACUUUAAAGAGCUUUUAGAAGACAGUCAAAAGAACCACGAUAUAAGAUGCGGCAGUCAACAUUCACUUAUACAAAAUAGAGGUCUUGAAGAUUUUUAUAAAACCAAAAGACACACAAAGAAAUUAAAACUGCCGAGAAAACGAAAAGCACGAGUAGCAUCAGAAAUACAAUGGCUUAUGACUGCCGCAUCGUUCCAGUUAAAUGUGGCCACCGUUAUGGAUAACGAAACAAACACAUUCCAGACUCUGUCUAGGAAGGCCAAAAUAUUCAAUGAAAGAUGGGCACUAGUGAUGUCGAUGUUAAAUCUUUCUUCAAGAAAGAGAAAAGAGCCGUGCUACCGACAAGGCAAUGUUCCGAAAGCACUCAUUAAGGAGACCUGUCUUUAUGGUGCCUUAGUUUUAAGGGAUGUCAAAUGUACCAUAGAUAAUGUGUUGAGAGUCUUGGACAAUUGUAAGAUAAAAGGAUUAAAAAGAGGAAAAGGAGGUAAAAGAGGAAAAAGAGGUAAAACGAAUAAAAAACAUGGUCCAUAUUUGCAUUGCAGUAAAAUAAUACGUUCAGCGUUUUACAUUAUUCGUAAG
Long non-coding RNA from Patella vulgata (common limpet), 677 nucleotides. RefSeq lists it as uncharacterized. The record is from RefSeq and is a predicted model, not a curated record. NCBI's taxonomy places the organism in Eukaryota, Metazoa, Mollusca, Gastropoda, Patellidae. The transcript is spliced from 3 exons.